This 253-nucleotide ribosomal RNA is filed under the name uncultured bacterium. RNAcentral describes it as "partial 16S ribosomal RNA". It matches the Rfam family "Bacterial small subunit ribosomal RNA", at positions 524 to 776 of the family's 1533-position model. The record is from RNAcentral.
UACGUAGGUGGCGAGCGUUGUCCGGAUUUACUGGGCGUAAAGCGCACGCAGGCGGCCUGUCAAGUCUAGGGUGAAAUCUCCUGGCUCAACCAGGAUAGGUCUCUAGAUACUGACAGGCUUGAGGGCAGCAGAGGAGAGCAGAAUUCCCGGUGUAGCGGUGAUAUGCGUAGAUAUCGGGAGGAAUACCAGUGGCGAAGGCGGCUCUCUGGGCUGUCCCUGACGCUGAGGUGCGAAAGCGUGGGGAGCAAACAGG